CAUAGAACAAAAACUACAACCUUGAAGGCAACUGACAAUAGAUAAAAUUGAUAGUUUAAAUAUCAAGAAUGUAUAUUCUUGCAAGUACUACCUUGACAUUGUUUAAAAAUACUAAGAAUGAGCACUUUGCUAUUAAAAUGAACAUUAUUAUAGAAUCACCGACAUAAAAACAUUGCAUCAGUAGGAACGAACUGCGACUUUGACACACCAAAACAGUGAUCUGUGAGUUUUAGUGUCUUCUAUCAUGAGACCUUAUAUAUCCACAAAAAGGCAUAUAUACCAUUUAUUGAGGGAAAAAUAGUUGAAAGAGAUUAUAUAUUUACCCAUAAAAGCAUCCAUCAUCACUCCUAAUCCCAGGUAUACAAAGUAUAAACUGCACUGUAAUAUAAAAAUAAAAAAGAUGAGAAAAAGAGAGAUGUUUAAGCUAGCUAGCACUAUAUAAGAAGAAAAAUUAAAGAUUAUAGCUAGAAAUGAAGGUAGUUAAGCAUUUUUUCAAUCCCAGCCAUGAAGUUGCCAUGAUUUUGUGGUCUUAUCAUAACCCAAGGUAUAACAUAUACUAAUAAACAGUUUGUUGACAUGCCAUCUCCAAUGGCUCCAAUGGUACCCAAAAACAUUAGCCAAACAUCAACCCAAUCUGCAUAUCUAAAAAUUAUAACAAUAGAAUUUCUCUUUUCUAAAGAACAGAGAUAGUGCUAAGAAAUUGGCUAAGUGAAGAAAGGAAAAAAGUUUUGUUUGCUUUGAAGAAGUGAUGACCAAUAACUAAAUUUGUUUGUGCAUUUAUAUUAAAAAAAAAUCAAGAAUAGGGAGCUUGCUAGGUGGUUUUCCAUGAAGCAGCAGGGGCUGAACAAAUUCGUUUAUAUGCAAAUUAUAGAUCCAAGUUAAUUUUUUUUAAAAGAAGUGAGAAAUAAACAAAAACACUCACAGAUUUUGAAGGCUCUAAUUAAGAGCUUUAAGGUUAAGAGUUUCAAAAGUAAUGAUAAAUAUGUCAAAAACAUUGAAUAUUAAAAAAAUCACACGUAAAUCAUUCAUUAAGAGAGCCAAAAAGGGGACGAACCCAAUUACAUGUGCACUAUAUAGAGCAUAAAAGAACAAAAGGCAAUCAUAUGCCAGAAAGCUAAAGGCCUCACUCUAUACACAGAGCAUGACAAAAGAUAACUAUUAUUGACAGAAAAAUAAAAUAAAGAAAUAAGAAUGUGCGCCCAAAAUUAAAUUAAUCAUAACUGAUCAAGCGUCAAGUUAUUUGUUAUAACAUGUGCACAUGCACCGCCAAGAAAUGAUUGCCAAAAGUUGUUUCUAUGAAAAAUGUUUUAUAUGUUAAGAGUAUAUACUUGAAUGUGAGAUCCAUUAAAACGUACAAUUACACCUACCAACACAAUACAAACCUCCUCGAAUGAAGUAUCUUCUUUUAGAUCUCUCUAAGUUCCACGAACUCUUAACUUAAGAAUUUGUCCAGGAUAAACGAUCUGCAAGAACACAAACUGACUACUAAGUUCCAUUCAAAUUGUAACUUAUCAUAACAAAGAAAUUUUGUAAUAAUAAAUACUCCAAAAAAAUAGAAAAAAGAUUUAAGGCAAACCAACCAUAUUAGAUGCUUAAGUAAAUAGGGUUAACAGUUCUCCAAAUCAAUUUUCGCACUUAUAUUGUAUUUCAACUCUAUCAAUCCACCCUUACUAUUCUUUAUUGCAAAUCAUGUACCAGUUAUGUAAUCUUCUGGAUUUAUCAAGUCUACUAACUAAUUAGUUUUUUUAGUUAAAUAUUCUCAGAGAGUUGCAAAGAUAGGAUUGACAAUAAUCUUACCAUAUCUGCACUGCAGAAGAGAGGAUAACAGAAAAAUCAUACCCCUGUUACAUGAUCGAUCCCCUGACAACAACGCAUGAGUUGUACCACCAGCUCCAAUAGACAUUACUUGCACCAAACAUUGGUUACCAUAUUACUUUUCCAUUUCAAUAUUCCUUUUUCAUCUUUAUUUUUAGUUUUUGUCAACUAAAUGUUUUGAAAAAAGAGCAAACAAUUGGUUUCUUUUCAAAAGUUAAUUUUUCAAGCAAAAUGCAGAUAUACAAAAUGAUUUAACUCUUUUUACAUCUCUAGCAUAUAUUUUGAACAUUUCUAGUGGUCAUUUUAGAUUUCUUAUUCAAAUUUGAAAUUUAUAAUGUCAUGUAGAAAGUUUUUUGAGUAAGAAAUUGAAAACUUUGUCAAAACAGGCUUCAAAUGAUCGUCCAUCAACUAAUUCCGUUGUUUUCAUCUCUAACAAAACAAAUCAACACUAUAGAAUAAUCACUCCAAUCAUCAUAAACGUAUUUAACCAUAAUCAAAAUCAAUGCUAUCAAUUUCCCACAAAUUUGAAAUUUGACUUUCUUAGUUCUAAACAAUAAAACUAAUUACUUGUAUGUAAUGCUCAAUUGUGUGAAAACAUCAACACCUAUUACACCAAGCAGCUUGAAUAUAAAGAUAAAAAACACAAUCUUGAAAAAAAAAAAUAUGAAGAUUAACAUCAUUAGACCAUUUAUAGACACAUUUAAAGCUAAAUUGCAAAAAACUAAAGCAAACCCAGAUGACAAAAUAAAGUAAAUUAGCAACAGUACCUCCCCUGUGUGGUGGAUAUGUAGUCAAAGAUUCUCCAGUUCUCUUGAAUGUGAGACUUGAGAUUGGGUUUAAAAGCACAGAUCACGGCUGGGAAUUUCAUUGCAGAGAUUUUAGUGCAGCCACUUUUGGAUAUAUUAGGAUUUAGGGAAUAUAUUUUGAGAAGUGAUUCUGUGAUUUAUCUUUGUUUGUUUCAUAAAAAACAAUAUCUCCUCUGAGCUGUCGUAAGAUCAAAUUUAAAUAUGUGAUCUUAAUGCAGUAUUGUUGCUUUGUCAGUUGUCUGCUCAUUCAAUAAACAUCUCUCUCUUUCUCUCACAUGUGAACACAUACUCCAGUUAUGUAGAUGUGUCAUUCUACAUUCAGCAGUUUCUAUUUGGAAAUAUACCCUCCCAAUUAAUAUAGAACGAAUAUUACUACAUGGAAGGGUUUUCAUAACACAUGAUAUGAGGGCACUUAAACCUUUUCCUGAUUAGCAAAAUCUAAAAUAUAUAUUUUAGCUAAUAGGAGUAAAGAUUAAUCCUGAAUCCUCAUAACAAAGUAGAUACAACGAAAUUUGCGGAUUCGAGAGACCAUAGGAAAUUGAUCUCACUUCUUAUAUGGUUUGAUUGGUUUUAACUUUUCAAUGAUAGUAAAAGUAUAACCUUGUAGGACUAAUUUGUGUGCUCAAAUCUACGUUAAACUCUCAGAUUGGAAAACUUCCCUGGACAUCUCAAUAUUCGAGAAAAUUAAUUUCAAUUUUCAACAAUUUUUCCCAUCAUAUUUAAUUGUUGAAACCUAUAUUACACAUAUGAUAGAACUCCUUAUAUCAAUCUAAAUGGCAUCAAUAUUCUUAAUUAAUUACAAUUAUUAGUGAGUUGAUCUGCAAUUCUUGCAGAUGACAUAAUUGAGGAUAAAACCGUUGUUGACGGUGAAACUAUAAAAGCAAGCAGGUAUAGUAAAAUUGAAGCAGUUGUUCUUGAGAGCAGUUUCGUAUAUUGGUGUCUAAACUAUUUUGUGUGCUUCGCCUAGGUGGCUCGGUACUGAAUCGUAUGCUGACCCCGUAAAAUAUCUAGAUAUGAAAGGCAGAAGAUUACAUAACAGAACUAUUUAUCUCAAGGACAGAGUUAAGAGCUGCAAAAAGAGGAAGGCAUGGCUUUGCUUAAUUAUUUUUCCUUAUUUCGACUCACAUUUUUUGUCUUACACUUUUACUUUACCCUCAGAAGCUUGAAGAGAGAUUCAAUGAGAAAGAGGAACAGAAAGUCCAAUACCUAUUACAUAUACACACAACACAUUCCAAUAUUCUAUUUACUUAUAGUCAAUGAGAUUUUUGAUAGUAUAAAAUGACACAAUGUUCUCGGGGUGACAAUCAUAAGUUCAUCAUCAUGCCAUCACUAAUUUACUUAAUAAAUUCAAUGAAUUCUUUCUGUAAAACAUAGGUAAUAGUAAUACAUAUAGAUUCAUGUUACUGAAAAAAAUAGAGCCUUAAACUGAGGUCACCUGAUGGAAGUUGAGCCUUAAACUGAGGUCACCUGAUGGAAGUUGUGAAAGGUUGUCUGGGAACUAAAACCUCGGACGUGUCCACAGCUGCAAAAACAAUGAAUAUUUCGAGGACUAAUUACUUUUGCAUAAAUUUAUAAAUAAAAUUUUAAAAAUAAAUCAGUGAAAUUAGAAAUAUUUUGAAGAGGUAAAAAGGGCAAAAGAAAAAUCACAUAAAGAAACAAUAAAUCAGUAGUACCUUGAGAUACAUCUACUGUCGCCUUAUCAGAGGUGAUAUCCAUUGAUGUCAAAUUAUUUUUCUUCUUCUUAUUCCUGUUCUUAGCCAUAGCUCUCGCGCGAACAGAGAAUCAAAAGAAUCCAAAACCUGCAACUCUAGAAUUGAAUUAGGUUAGGAGAGAAAACUUUAGGAAUUUAACCCUUCUCUCGUCGCACUCACAGAAUUUAAAACAAAUAGAAUCCCUAAUAUCUUCUUCCACCAAACAAAGCACCGAAAUGAAGUACCAAAAAUUGACAAUCAAAAAUGGACAAAAAAAUCAAAACCCACCAACAUACCUAGAAAUCAAAAGCAGUCCAAAAAAUUUAUAAUUUAUUCAUUGAACAAUGAAAUCAAAAAGAAAAAAGUAUGCGUAAAGAUAGAUCGGAAUGAAGAUGGACAGAGUUUUGAAGACCCCCACCUUGUAUUAUUGAGAGAAAGCUUAAUGAGAGAUAAAAAUUAAUUGGGUGAAGAUGAAGAUUCACGUAACGUAUCAUGAUAGAGAAAGGUUUAGAAAGAUAAUGGAACUGAGAAUAGAGGCUUCCCCCUUACAUCUGCUUCUGACUUCAACCUCUUUGUUGAACCUUUUCGCUUUCUUGAAUUGCCCUAUGUUGGUGGCGCAACGAACGAUUGAUCUGAUGAAAUUGAGCGAGUUAACUCCUACUUGAUUUCAAAUUGAGUGAGUUGAGUCACCCAAUUAUGUAAUUUAAAGGAUAGGUUGUUAGAGCAACUUCAGCAAAUUGGAGUUGUCAAAUUCGUAGACUAUAUUUAGUCUAGUAUGUCAAAAUCACUCCAACAAAUGGACUAUAUUUAGAAGACUAACUUUUUCGACGGCUCAAAACAACCAAAUCUGCGAACAAAAAAUCAGCCAAACUAUAAUUUAAUAUAAUUAAAUGGGAAACUCUCUGUUGAAGAAAUUGAAGAAAAAAAAGAAGAGAAACUCUGUUGAAAAAGAAGAUCUGUCGAAGAAAAAGAAGGAGGUGAAGUGAGAGAACUGAAAGUGAAGCGAAGGAGAGAUGAACGGUAAUAAAGUACAAUCCAACGGAUAGAAAAAAA
RNAcentral lists this long non-coding RNA (5365 nucleotides) under Panax ginseng (ginseng). RNAcentral describes it as "long non-coding RNA (PGIN_LNC010903)". The record is from RNAcentral. Lineage: Eukaryota; Viridiplantae; Streptophyta; Magnoliopsida; Apiales; Araliaceae.